Molecule: transfer RNA, 87 nt
Filed under: Hellea balneolensis
Lineage: Bacteria; Pseudomonadati; Pseudomonadota; Alphaproteobacteria; Maricaulales; Robiginitomaculaceae
Also listed under: 1 other name
Description: tRNA-Leu
Rfam family: tRNA
About the family: Transfer RNA (tRNA) molecules are approximately 80 nucleotides in length. Their secondary structure includes four short double-helical elements and three loops (D, anti-codon, and T loops).
Source: RNAcentral
GCGGGCGUGGUGGAAUCGGUAGACACGCAAGACUUAAAAUCUUGUUUCCGUAAGGAAGUGCCGGUUCAAGUCCGGCCGCCCGCACCA